GUGCUCACUUUGGCAUCAUGUAUACUAAAAUUGGAAUGAUACAGAGAAGAUGAGCAUGGCCCUGCACAAGAAUGGCACGCGAAUUCACGAAGCCGUCCAUAUUUUU
Molecule: small nuclear RNA, 106 nt
Organism: Sorex araneus (European shrew)
Lineage: Eukaryota; Metazoa; Chordata; Mammalia; Eulipotyphla; Soricidae
Source: RefSeq, a predicted model, not a curated record